Temnothorax curvispinosus is the source of this 847-nucleotide long non-coding RNA. RefSeq lists it as uncharacterized. The record is from RefSeq and is a predicted model, not a curated record. The transcript has 3 exons. Lineage: Eukaryota; Metazoa; Arthropoda; Insecta; Hymenoptera; Formicidae.
GAACUCUACCCCCACCUGCCGGCCGCCGCCGCCAUCUUAUGAUCGUACGCCCUGCUGUCUAUUGGUGUAUUGGAGACGAGCAUGAUGACGUCAGCUGGUCAAUAUGGCGGCCAUAAGCAGCGGUUCCUUCCUCCCCCCCUUCGGCACCGUGGCAAGAUGGACGACACCGCGGGCCCGUCACGAACGUCGGACGUAGCGACGAUGGGAAGCGAGAGCGCGGACGACGCCGCCGCCCCGCGCCGCCUCGAAGAUGCGGACGAUCGACGAUGACGACGCGAGUGCCGCCCCUACCACGGGUGACGCCGCCGUCGAAAGCCGCGAUAACCGGGGCUCGAUAAGGGUCGCAUCCGCAUCAGUGUCGUUUCCGCAGGACAUCAGAUCCUUAAGAGCUUCUUACAGUUCAUGAAGCUACGCAGGGAGAGAGCAGCGAUGCUAUCAGCAUUUAUACUUCCAGUAUUUCAGUGUCUGAUAACGAGUCAAGUUCAAGCAGAGUCAGCGCGAUAAUUGUGGUAUUGUCCUGGGGUGCUCAAAAAGAGACGGUAAAGCCGCAACAAAUAGAGAAGAUAUAUGGAUCUAAGACCAGGAAAGUACGUGAUGCGCAUUCUCUUCGCACAAUUUACUUCGCAGGCGGAGAAAAAGAUGGAAGCUGUUAUGACAGAACAUGAAAAACAACUAUCAAAAGUAUCGCAAAGAGGAGAGGAUUUACAAUUCAAUCUGUAAGCGGGCUGCGAGACUGACUGCUAUAAGUGCCUGCCGCUGUCAGGCUCAUGGCUCGUGGCACAAGGUUGUCGAUCACGCGUUGAUGCCGCCCCACGUACAGGUGCGCAUGCCGGCAUUGUCGCGAAUC